UUAGUUAGCUAUAAAAUUAAGAAAAUUUAUUAUCCAAAGAUACCUAUAAGAUAGAUUUACGCAGUGAAUUUUCUUUUGAUUUUGGAGAACCCAUCUUGUCAGGAAAAGGGACUUCAUGGUAUUAUAUGCUCUAAUGGGCAAUUUGAUCUGCGCUGUUGUUUCCAAUCUGGAAGUUGCAAUAUCCAGUCUCAUGUCAUUUGCUAGAUCAGUUUCUUCGCCCAAUUUCAACCCUCACAUUAAGGGCAUCUAAAAUUUAAGACAACGUCUAAAUGCGGCAGCAAUUUGGGUAUUUCUAAUCCUUACCUGCAUAAUUGUGUAUGGUUGAGUUUUUACCAUAUGCAAAACUGUUUUUGCUCUUCUUGGUCACAAUGAUCAAAGGCUUGAAAUAGUCAUUAUUUCUGCAGGUUAUAUGAUCACAUGUCAUCGUCUGAUGUGAAAACGUGUCUUAGUAUUACUCCCCAGUUUAUCUCUUGCUAAACUUAACACCGCUUCUUGCUUAUGUCAAAACAUAUAUUCAUGACAUGCAAUUCGUUAUUUUAAUAUGGAUAGGUGUCUCAGUUUUCCUGCCCCAG
This 572-nucleotide long non-coding RNA is filed under the name Nicotiana tabacum (common tobacco). Its description in RNAcentral is "long non-coding RNA (NTAB_LNC003428)". Lineage: Eukaryota; Viridiplantae; Streptophyta; Magnoliopsida; Solanales; Solanaceae. The record is from RNAcentral.